RNAcentral lists this ribosomal RNA (486 nucleotides) under uncultured bacterium. RNAcentral describes it as "partial 16S ribosomal RNA". It matches the Rfam family "Bacterial small subunit ribosomal RNA", at positions 30 to 507 of the family's 1533-position model. The record is from RNAcentral.
AUUGAACGCUGGCGGCAUGCCUUACACAUGCAAGUCGAACGGCAGCACGGGUGCUUGCACCUGGUGGCGAGUGGCGAACGGGUGAGUAAUACAUCGGAACAUGUCCUGUAGUGGGGGAUAGCCCGGCGAAAGCCGGAUUAAUACCGCAUACGAUCUACGGAUGAAAGCGGGGGCCCUUCGGGCCUCGCGCUAUAGGGUUGGCCGAUGGCUGAUUAGCUAGUUGGUGGGGUAAAGGCCUACCAAGGCGACGAUCAGUAGCUGGUCUGAGAGGACGACCAGCCACACUGGAACUGAGACACGGCCCAGACUCCUACGGGAGGCAGCAGUGGGGAAUUUUGGACAAAGGGCGAAAGCCUGAUCCAGCAAUGCCGCGUGUGUGAAGAAGGCCUUCGGGUUGUAAAGCACUUUUGUCCGGAAAGAAAUCCUUGGCCCUAAUACGGUCGGGGGAUGACGGUACCGGAAGAAUAAGCACCGGCUAACUACGUG